This 2533-nucleotide ribosomal RNA is filed under the name human gut metagenome. RNAcentral describes it as "bacterial LSU rRNA". It matches the Rfam family "Bacterial large subunit ribosomal RNA", at positions 1 to 2573 of the family's 2925-position model. The record is from RNAcentral.
UCAAGCAGAAAGGGCACAGGGCGGAUGCCUUGGCACUAAGGGCCGAAGAAAGACGUGAUAAGCUGCGAUAAGCUUCGGGGAGGAGCAAAUAUCCAUUGAUCCGGAGAUCUCUGAAUGGGGAAACCCACAUGAGGAAACCUCAUGUAUCCAUACGCCAAUCCAUAACGUAUGGAGGGGAACCCGGGGAACUGAAACAUCUAAGUACCCGGAGGAAAAGAAAGAAAACUCGAUUCCGUAAGUAGCGGCGAGCGAACGCGGAGGAGCCUAAACCAGUGUGCGUGCACGCUGGGGUUACGGACUGCAUUUAAGAUUCUGUAAAGCUAGCAGAACGGUUUUGGGAAAGCCGGCCGGAGAGGGUGAGAGCCCCGUACGCGAAAGCAGAGCAGACUGAGCAGGAUCCAGAGUACCGCGGGACACGAGAAACCCUGCGGGAAGUGAGGGGGACCACCCCCUAAGGCUAAAUACCACUUAGUGACCGAUAGCGCAUAGUACUGUGAAGGAAAGGUGAAAAGGACCCCGGGAGGGGAGUGAAAGAGAACCUGAAACCCUGUGUCUACAAGCUGUGGAAGUGCUUUAUAUGCACGACCGCGUACUUUUUGUAGAACGGUCCGGCGAGUUGCGCUUACUGGCAAGGUUAAGGUCUUAAGGACCGGAGCCGUAGGGAAACCAAGUCUUAAUAGGGCCAGAGUCAGUGAGGGCAGACCCGAAACCGGGUGAUCUAUCCAUGUCCAGGUUGAAGCUGCCGUAAGAGGCAGUGGAGGACCGAACCCACAUCCGUUGAAAAGGGUGGGGAUGAGGUGUGGAUAGGGGAGAAAUUCCAAUCGAACCCGGAGAUAGCUGGUUCUCCUCGAAAUAGCUUUAGGGCUAGCCUCGGUAGAGAUUAGCGGAGGUAGAGCACUGAAUUUCCUAGGGGGCGUCAAAGCCUACCGAAGAAUAUCAAACUCCGAAUGCCGCAGAAUUGCUUACCGGGAGUCAGACUGCACGAGAUAAGUUGGGCAGUCGAAAGGGAAAGAGCCCAGACCUUCAGUUAAGGUCCCAAAGUGCGCGUUAAGUGGAAAAGGAUGUGGGAUUUCAAAGACAACCAGGAUGUUGGCUCAGAAGCAGCCAUCCAUUCAAAGAGUGCGUAAUAGCUCACUGGUCGAGAGGUCCUGCGCCGAAAAUGUCCGGGGCUGAAACGCGCCACCGAAACUAAGGAAUCAGAAAUGAUUGGUAGAGGAGCAUUGCAUGCGGGGCGAAGCAGUACCGUAAGGAGCUGUGGACUGCAUGGAAGAGAGAAUGCCGGAAUGAGUAGCGAGAAUAAGGUGAGAAUCCUUAUGGCCGAAUAUCCAAGGUUUCCAGGGUAAAGCUGAUCUGCCCUGGGUAAGUCGGGGCCUAAGGCGAGGACGAGAGUCGUAGCCGAUGGACAACAGGUGGAGAUUCCUGUACUGCGGUAUGACAGAACUGUGGGGACACGUGCAGAGAGCGGAAGCCGGGAACGGAAAGCCCGGUGCAAGUGAGGUACCAGUCACAUUGGCAAAUCCGUGUGGCAAUGGGAAGACACGAUGCGGACCGAAUUAAAGUAGGGAAGUCCGUGAGCUGUGCGUCAAGAAAAGCCGCUAUUGUUUAUACCGUACCCGUACCGUAAACCGACACAGGUGGAUGAGGAGAGAAUCCUAAGGCCGGCGGAAGAAGCAUUGUCAAGGAACUCGGCAAAAUGACCCCGUAACUUCGGGAGAAGGGGUGCCUCAGAGAUGAGGCCGCAGAGAAUAGGCUCAAGCAACUGUUUAGCAAAAACACAGGUCUAUGCGAAACCGAAAGGUGAGGUAUAUGGGCUGACGCCUGCCCGGUGCUGGAAGGUUAAGAGGAGAGGUUAGCGCAAGCGAAGCUUUGAAUUUAAGCCCCAGUAAACGGCGGCCGUAACUAUAACGGUCCUAAGGUAGCGAAAUUCCUUGUCGGGUAAGUUCCGACCCGCACGAAAGGCGUAAUGAUUUGAGCGCUGUCUCGACAAUGCAUCCGGUGAAAUUGAAGUACCAGUGAAGAUGCUGGUUACCUGCGCCAGGACGGAAAGACCCCAUGGAGCUUUACUCCAGUUUGGUACUGGGAUCCGGUGCUGCAUGUACAGGAUAGGUGGGAGACUGAGAACACAUAACGCCAGUUGUGUGGGAGUCGCUGUUGGGAUACCACCCUUGCAGUAUUGGGUUUCUAACCAGCCGCCGUAAGCCGGCGGUGGGACAAUGCCAGACGGGGAGUUUGACUGGGGCGGUCGCCUCCGAAAGGGUAUCGGAGGCGCCCAAAGGUUCCCUCAGAAUGGACGGAAACCAUUCGCAGAGUGCAAAGGCAGAAGGGAGCUUGACUGCGACACCGACGGGUGGAGCAGGUACGAAAGUAGGGCUUAGUGAUCCGGUGGUAUUAAGUGGGAAUGCCAUCGCUCAACGGAUAAAAGCUACCCUGGGGAUAACAGGCUUAUCACUCCCAAGAGUUCACAUCGACGGAGUGGUUUGGCACCUCGAUGUCGGCUCAUCGCAUCCUGGGGCUGUAGUAGGUCCCAAGGGUU